ACUUGGCUGGCUCAGUCAGUAGAGCAUGUGACUCUGGAUCUCAGGGUCAUGAGUUGGAGCCCCAUGUUGGGCA
Molecule: non-coding RNA, 73 nt
Organism: Canis lupus familiaris (dog)
Lineage: Eukaryota; Metazoa; Chordata; Mammalia; Carnivora; Canidae
Source: Rfam